AUGGGAGGGAUGGGCUUUCGAGAUAUCGAACUCUUCAAUCUAGCUCUUCUGGCCCGGCAAGCAUGGCGACUCCUACAGGAACCUAAUUCCCUCAGUGCACGUAUUUUAAAAUCUGUUUAUUACCCUUCUUGUACCAUCUUGGAUGCAGAGAUUGGCAGCAACCCCUCACAAGUAUGGCGAUCAACCAUAGAAGGUCGUGACACACUGAAACUUGGAUUGAUCAACAGGAUUGGCACAGGUGAAGCGGCGGAAAUUUGGAAUGACAACUAG
Molecule: ribosomal RNA, 270 nt
Filed under: Triticum aestivum (bread wheat)
Lineage: Eukaryota; Viridiplantae; Streptophyta; Magnoliopsida; Poales; Poaceae
Description: partial small subunit ribosomal RNA
Source: RNAcentral